This 418-nucleotide ribosomal RNA is filed under the name uncultured bacterium. RNAcentral describes it as "bacterial SSU rRNA". It matches the Rfam family "Bacterial small subunit ribosomal RNA", at positions 360 to 773 of the family's 1533-position model. The record is from RNAcentral.
AAUCUUCGGCAAUGAGCGCAAGCUUGAUCGAGCGAUGCCGCGUGCGGGAUGAAGGCCCUCGGGUUGUAAACCGCUGUCGUAGGGGAGUAAUGGCCAGGGGGUUCUCCCUCUGGUUUGAACAAUCCUAGGAGGAAGGACGGGCUAAGUUCGUGCCAGCAGCCGCGGUAAGACGAACCGUCCAAACGUUAUUCGGAAUCACUGGGCUUACAGAGUUCGUAGGCGGUCCCAAAAGUUAGGUGUGAAAUCCCUCGGCUCAACCGAGGAACUGCGCUUAAAACUGUGGGACUCGAGGGAGAUAGAGGAAAGCGGAACUGAUGGUGGAGCGGUGAAAUGCGUUGAUAUCAUCAGGAACACCGGUGGCGAAGGCGGCUUUCUGGGUCUUACCUGACGCUGAGGAACGAAAGCCAGGGGAGCGAAC